RNAcentral lists this unclassified non-coding RNA (358 nucleotides) under soil metagenome. RNAcentral's name for it is "partial contains 5.8S ribosomal RNA, internal transcribed spacer 2, and large subunit ribosomal RNA". The stretch from base 1 to 120 matches the Rfam family "5.8S ribosomal RNA", at positions 35 to 154 of the family's 154-position model. The record is from RNAcentral.
GAUGAAGAACGUAGUGAAAUGCGAUAAGUAAUGUGAAUUGCAGAAUUCAGUGAAUCAUCGAAUCUUUGAACGCACAUUGCGCCCGUCAGUAUUCUGGCGGGCAUGCCUGUUCGAGCGUCAUUACGCCCCUCAAGUCCCCUGUGGACUUGGUGUUGGGGAUCGGCGAGGCUGGUUUUCCAGCACAGCCGUCCCUUAAAUUAAUUGGCGGUCUCGCCGUGGCCCUCCUCUGCGCAGUAGUAAAACACUCGCAACAGGAGCCCGGCGCGGUCCACUGCCAUAAAACCCCCCAACUUUUUAUAGUUGACCUCGAAUCAGGUAGGACUACCCGCUGAACUUAAGCAUAUCAAUAAGCGGAGGA